This 784-nucleotide ribosomal RNA is filed under the name uncultured Acidobacteriota bacterium. Its description in RNAcentral is "bacterial SSU rRNA". It matches the Rfam family "Bacterial small subunit ribosomal RNA", at positions 37 to 852 of the family's 1533-position model. Lineage: Bacteria; Pseudomonadati; Acidobacteriota. The record is from RNAcentral.
UGGCGGCGUGCCUAACACAUGCAAGUCGCACGAGAAAGUGGAGCAAUCCAUGAGUACAGUGGCGCACGGGUGAGUAACACGUGACUAACCUACCCUCGAGUGGGGAAUAACUUCGGGAAACCGAGGCUAAUACCGCAUAACACUUACGAGUCAAAGCAGCAAUGCGCUUGGGGAGGGGGUCGCGGCAGAUUAGCUAGUUGGUGGGGUAAUGGCCCACCAAGGCGAUGAUCUGUAUCCGGCCUGAGAGGGCGCACGGACACACUGGAACUGAAACACGGUCCAGACUCCUACGGGAGGCAGCAGUGGGGAAUUUUGCGCAAUGGGGGAAACCCUGACGCAGCAACGCCGCGUGGAGGAUGAAAUCCCUUGGGAUGUAAACUCCUUUCGAUCGGGACGAUUAUGACGGUACCGGAAGAAGAAGCCCCGGCUAACUUCGUACCAGCAGCCGCGGUAAUACGAGGGGGGCGAGCGUUGUUCGGAAUUAUUGGGCGUAAAGGGUGCGUAGGCGGUUUGAUAAGUCAUCUGUGAAAUCUCUGGGCUCAACCCAGAGUCUGCAGGCGAAACUGUCGGGCUUGAGUAUGGGAGAGGUGAGUGGAAUUUCCGGUGUAGCGGUGAAAUGCGUAGAUAUCGGAAGGAACACCUGUGGCGAAAGCGGCUCACUGGACCAUUACUGACGCUGAUGCACGAAAGCUAGGGGAGCAAACAGGAUUAGAUACCCUGGUAGUCCUAGCCCUACACGAUGAUUGCUUGAUGUGGAGGGUACCCAAUCCUUCCGUGUCGUAGC